CCUACGGGUGGCAGCAGUAGGGAAUAUUGCUCAAUGGAGGAAACCCUGAAGCAGCAACGCCGCGUGGAGGAUGAAGGUUUUCGGAUUGUAAAAUCCUUUUGUUAGAGGAGUUAAUGGCGGUAUCUGAAGAAUAAGCAACGACUAACUCCGUGACAGCAGCCGCGGCAAUAUGGAGGGUGCAAGGGUUACUCGGAGUCACUGGGCGUAAAGAGGGCGUAGGGGGGAUAGAAAGUCAGAUGUGAAAUCCUAUGGCUUAACCAUAGAAUUGCAUUUGAAACUGUUAGUCUAGAGUAUGGGAGAGGUAGGUGGAAUGCUUGGUGUAGCGGUAAAAUCCGUAGAGAUCAAGAGGAAUACUCAUUGCGAAGGCAACCUGCUAGAACAUAACUGACGCUGAUGCGCGAAAGCGUGGGGAGCAAACAGGAUUAGAUACCCUAGUAGUC
This 440-nucleotide ribosomal RNA is filed under the name uncultured bacterium. RNAcentral describes it as "partial 16S ribosomal RNA". It matches the Rfam family "Bacterial small subunit ribosomal RNA", at positions 338 to 795 of the family's 1533-position model. The record is from RNAcentral.